RNAcentral lists this ribosomal RNA (252 nucleotides) under uncultured bacterium. RNAcentral describes it as "partial 16S ribosomal RNA". It matches the Rfam family "Bacterial small subunit ribosomal RNA", at positions 524 to 776 of the family's 1533-position model. The record is from RNAcentral.
UACGUAGGGGGCGAGCGUUAUCCGGAUUUAUUGGGCGUAAAGGGUGCGUAGGCGGUAUGUUAAGUCUAAAAUCAAAGCCCGAGGCUUAACCUCGGUUCGUUUUAGAAACUGGCAAACUAGAGUGCAGUAGAGGCAAGUGGAAUUUCUAGUGUAGCGGUUAAAUGCGUAGAUAUUAGAAGGAACACUAGUGGCGAAGGCGGCUUGCUGGGCUGUAACUGACGCUGAGGCACGAAAGCGUGGGGAGCAAAUAGG